RNAcentral lists this ribosomal RNA (436 nucleotides) under Salmonella enterica subsp. enterica serovar Cerro. RNAcentral's name for it is "partial 23S ribosomal RNA". It matches the Rfam family "Bacterial large subunit ribosomal RNA", at positions 168 to 640 of the family's 2925-position model. The record is from RNAcentral. Lineage: Bacteria; Pseudomonadati; Pseudomonadota; Gammaproteobacteria; Enterobacterales; Enterobacteriaceae.
AGGUUAAUGAGGCGAACCGGGGGAACUGAAACAUCUAAGUACCCCGAGGAAAAGAAAUCAACCGAGAUUCCCCCAGUAGCGGCGAGCGAACGGGGAGGAGCCCAGAGCCUGAAUCAGCAUGUGUGUUAGUGGAAGCGUCUGGAAAGGCGCGCGAUACAGGGUGACAGCCCCGUACACAAAAGCGCAUGUGCUGUGAGCUCGAUGAGUAGGGCGGGACACGUGGUAUCCUGUCUGAAUAUGGGGGGACCAUCCUCCAAGGCUAAAUACUCCUGACUGACCGAUAGUGAACCAGUACCGUGAGGGAAAGGCGAAAAGAACCCCGGCGAGGGGAGUGAAAAAGAACCUGAAACCGUGUACGUACAAGCAGUGGGAGCACAGGUUUACCUGUGUGACUGCGUACCUUUUGUAUAAUGGGUCAGCGACUUAUAUUCUGUAG